GGCAGAGUGAGUUCAGCCUAUCAUUUGAGAUCCGAGUAUGAUUGGGGAAAUAUCCUGAAAUAGUCUAUGAUUUGAAGAAAUGGAUAGAUGGCUAGAAUAACAUGCUAGAUGGUAGUCAAGUUACUAACUGCAGAAUUGAUUUGAUAAAAUUCUCAUCGUGUCUCCUGACUUAGGAGAAAUAUUGGGUCUGAUGAAUGGGUAAAAUUCCCAGGUGAAAAGAAUUUGGUCUGUAAGAUUUGGCAGCACCCUGAGGUUUGCCAUAUCUGAUGGCCUGGCUUUAGUGGCAGCACCUAGUGAAGGCCCAGGUGUCCUUCUGACAACCUUUACCACCUACCGUUUUGUCCUUACUUAUGUUGAAUCACUACACACAGGCUGUUGAAUUCAGCUGUCUGUGGAGAAAUUAUACCAACCACAUGGUUAGACAGAAGGAAUACAAUAUAUUGCUUAAUUUGUAUCUGAAAGCUAAGCAACAUGGAAAAAAAUCAAGCAUGCUCAGUCACUUCCAUGAGGACAAACGAAGACACUUCAAGGAGGACAUUGACAUGGAUCUGCCAGCUUUCUAAGACUUUCCCCAGAUUCAAGUCCAGUCACAUCAAGUUGCCUUAUUAAAGGGUCUGCCCACUCAAAAGGAGAAAGUGCAAAAGAUGCUCAGCAAGAUUUGCACCCCUAUUGCUGGCACUGGGUGGACCUCCCCAAACGCUCUGCCCUUGGUGCUCUUCUGCCGGUUAUUCUCGUCCAUGACCCCAGAGCCAGGGAGAAUCUCACCAGUGCAGCCCAGGGCACUUCUGAUAACAUCUGAGCAGAGUGAAGGAGAAGAAACGCACGAGGCAGGCAUCUCAUUUAUGGAAGUGCUCCUCUGGGUCAAGCCCUCUGCCAAUAAUUUUCAUGCAUAAUGGCCCUUUCAUUCUCCCCAAAAAUUCUUCAAGGGAGGGUGAUAAUCCCAGGAUAUGGAAACAAGGAAAAGCAGACUACAAGAAGUUAAGUGACCUCCCCAAUGACCCGCUGCUCAUAAAUGGUAGUAUCAGAAUUAAAACCCAGAUGAGGCUGC
Long non-coding RNA from Homo sapiens (human), 1048 nucleotides. Ensembl annotates it as long intergenic non-protein coding RNA 1333. The record is from Ensembl. NCBI's taxonomy places the organism in Eukaryota, Metazoa, Chordata, Mammalia, Primates, Hominidae.